RNAcentral lists this long non-coding RNA (564 nucleotides) under Zea mays. RNAcentral describes it as "long non-coding RNA (ZMAY_LNC003114)". Lineage: Eukaryota; Viridiplantae; Streptophyta; Magnoliopsida; Poales; Poaceae. The record is from RNAcentral.
AGAGCUCCACGUUUUUGGAUGAGCCAACCUGGUAUGAUAGUUUUAUGUAAAAAGUCCAAACCUUCUGCGCGAACCCAAAAGGAAAAAAAAGGGGGCUGCUUUCGUCUCCACCCACCCAUUGGUUACUGUGACUACUGAGUCGUUGCAGGAUAUGCAUAAUUUCAGAUGGCGAUUCGAUCUCAUACUUUAAUCAUGAUUUAAUUUAAUAUACACUAGUGUUAUUGUUUCCAUGCAUUAUCUCAGUCUCUACUAAUUGCAGGCUUGCAGCUACUCUGUUGUGGCCGAUUUGGGUCCCCAAGCAGCAAUGCAGCAGCACGAUAGACUUGUCUACUUGUCGUUCCAUCUUCAUCAGCUGUUCUGUUGACCAAGAUGUGGCGCUCACGUCUGCACGAACCGGAUCCAAUUCUUUUGCCCUCGGUCUCCCUCCUGCUUUAGUUGACCUCAGAUGUCGGCUGCCACUUUGCAGUGUACUGUAACCUGUAUAUCUACCUAUUGUAUUUCAAAAAGGAAUACCGCAGAUCGAAGCCAUGUAUUUCAAAAGUUUCUUUUGUGGCAUGUAUUUCA